Molecule: ribosomal RNA, 417 nt
Filed under: uncultured bacterium
Lineage: Bacteria
Description: bacterial SSU rRNA
Rfam family: Bacterial small subunit ribosomal RNA
Source: RNAcentral
UGGGGAAUAUUGGGCAAUGGGCGCAAGCCUGACCCAGCAACGCCGCGUGAAGGAAGAAGGCCCUCGGGUUGUAAACUUCUUUUAUCAGGGACGAAGAAGUGACGGUACCUGAUGAAUAAGCCACGGCUAACUACGUGCCAGCAGCCGCGGUAAUACGUAGGUGGCAAGCGUUAUCCGGAUUUACUGGGUGUAAAGGGCGUGUAGGCGGGGUCGCAAGUCAGGUGUGAAAUUCCACGGCUCAACCGUGGAACUGCGUUUGAAACUGUGAUUCUUGAGUGAUGGAGAGGCAGGCGGAAUUCCGUGUGUAGCGGUGAAAUGCGUAGAUAUACGGGGUAACACCAGUGGCGAAGGCGGCCUGCUGGACAUUAACUGACGCUGAGGCGCGAAAGCGUGGGGAGCAAACAGGAUUAGAUACCC